RNAcentral lists this long non-coding RNA (5374 nucleotides) under Olea europaea (common olive). RNAcentral's name for it is "long non-coding RNA (OEUR_LNC010028)". The record is from RNAcentral. Lineage: Eukaryota; Viridiplantae; Streptophyta; Magnoliopsida; Lamiales; Oleaceae.
GGAUAACCAUAAAGGGAAUUAAAAGUAAGCAGAUGAAACUGCAUCAAAUAUCGACAAGACUUAAAAACUAGUUUUUUCAACAUAACACGCUGAUAAUUUUCCAUUUUGCUGGUUCAUUUUGGGAGUGGAGUCUUCACAAAUUCCCACGUGGUCUUAUGAAAAGCCUCAUUAGAACUUCUCGACCCCGCUACUUCAUUGAUGGGAACCGCAUCGGUAAUUUCUUUCAAAUCAUCUUUCGUAAGCUUCAAUUUAAGAGAAUCAAUAUUGGAGUGAAGAUUCUUAAUUUUAGUCGUACCUACAAAUGUUAGAAGAUUGAAAGAUAAAUCAAUAAAUCAUCAUUAAAACCGCUGCAAUUCAUGAGAUCAAUGUAAUAUCCACAUUUCAGUCACCAUCCAUUGCAUUACAGCAUCCGCAAAUGAUAACAAUUUUCCAGAGAAAGGCCUACAUAAACUAGUUAUGAAAUAAUCUCACUUCACGAUCCAGAUUUUCAAAUCUUUCUAUCUAGGAAUAAAUGGCCAAUAACUAUAGGGCAUAUAUGCAUAAGAUGAAUCUUGCUAAUUGAUGCUGAAUUAACAAAAAGCUAGCACAAGCAGAUACAUUUUUUUUUCUCUCGUUCUAACCCUUUCCUCUCCCUGGAAGAACAGGGUAAAAAGAAAAGGAAUAUCAUUUUUUUUAUGACCGUGGGUGUUCAAACUAGCUUACGCGCUCCUCGACUAAUCCCACGGGACCCUGAAGUUUAUAGCCGGAUACUCACCUCAGUAGCUUUGAGGGGAUUCGAACGGGUGACUAUUGGGGAGCAAAACCAAGACCUAACCACUAACAUAAAUAGAAAUCUAUGAAGAAAUGUUGGUUUUCAAACCCAUCCCUAAUAAGUGAGGGUACCUGAAAUUCAAGAGGUGCUUAGUGCUUAGCCGUGACAAGUAGUGGUGGUUAUUGGUCUAUUCUAUCACAAAUAAGGGUUCAACUUCUUGUUCAGCAAAUAAUAUGUUUAGAGCAAAGUCUAGAGCACGCCAUUUACUACAAGCAGAUAAACAAAACAGAUCAUAAACUCAAUAGUCAUGAAUUAUGCUUAUAUUCUUCAGGAAAACAUGUUGCCUUACUCUUCACUUAGUCUUGCAUUGUUGAACACUUGUGGGUGAUAUCUGCAUUACAAACAUGAUUUUUGUUCGACUAAUCUAAUUUAGGUGCACUAGCUCUAGAAAUAAAUGUGGUAGCAAAAUUAACACUCCUCACACCUGUCAACAUAGUUGAUAGAGUGGGAUACUCGAGCCAUUGGUUGAGUUCAAUGUGAAGGAAAUAUUUAUCUUGGGAAGCCCAAUUUGCUCAGUUUGAAGGAUAGGAAACCUCAAGAAAUGAAUAGGAGUUGGAGAUCUUUCUCCCGGGGCGGAGCCAAGAUUUUAGUUUAGUGUGAGCAAAAUUUUUUCGACGUCGAAUGUCGAGGUUUUGGUCAUGGAUUUACUGACGAUAAAAAAAUAAAAUAAUAGUACGACAAUACUAAAAACGACAUAAUUUAUAUAUUACACUUGUUCCUUGCGAGUUUUCAUACUCUGUGCGAACCGGCACUGCGACGCCGCGAUAGGGACGAAUUCUCUCACUCGCGGACAAAGAGUUGGAUUGAUUCAAAUGAAUAAAAUGGGUUUGGAUCAAUUGAAUUUUGAGGGAAUGGGUUUAAUAGGACUUCUCUCUCUAGCUGGACAGGGAAGUGGGUUAAAAAAAUAAUAAUAAUAAUAAAUAAAUUCUGCCCAAAUGUCCAGUGACACGCUUUGGCUCCACCCAUUCUUUCUCCUCUCUGUGUGCCUGUUUAUGUUCAGUGGUGGUGGAGAGGCAUGAGUCUAAAAUAGAGACUUUCAAUCUUUUGAGAGAGAAGGAGCUUUAAUUUCCAAAUUCCUUUGCCCAAUACUUAAUGUAACUGAAUUGGCACUGAACUGAUUCAAAUAGGGAGGCCCAGUUAAUUAGUUCAAAUGGCUGUUUCGGCUUUGUCCAUGUCACAAUUCAGUUUCAGUUCCGUUCAUUACUAUAGUUGUAAGCUAAUUAAAACACCCAAAUGCAUGCAUCUCCAAGACGAUUUCUGUUUACAUACUUUUGAAUAUGAAUAUUCUUACACUCUCCUAGAGGAAAGAUAUGUUGUAAUAAGAAUAUAGAGUGAGGUCAGUGUCAAAGUUUUCUAAACAGAUAGUUCAAAUAUCUUUAAUACUCUAUAUUUCCAAUCUCUCAAACAUUGUUUCUACUACAGUACUUAAAGAAAAGCUUCUUAUAUGAUUGGCUUACCUGGAAUAGGAACAACAUCGUCUCCUUGAUGAAGAACCCAUGCAAGCGCUAGUUGAGCAGGAGUGCAUCCAUGCUUCUUAGCCAAUGCUUCUACACGAAAGUAUAAGACUUUAUUCUUAUCAAAGUUCUCUCCCUGAAGUCUUGGGUGAUCUGCCUGAAGGUACAAAAAUGACACUACUUCUCAGCAACUAGAGAUUAUAAAAGCGAAGAAACUACAAAUUGAUCUUUGAUACUAAAGAAGAUAUUACACAUUGAAAAUUUUAAAAGACAUAGAUGCGUACACACCAAUGAGUUAUUUUCCAUGCUUCCCACAACAGCCUUCCCAGCAAAAAACCCUCGACCUAAGGGACUGUAUGGAACUAUUCCAAUCCCAAGUUCUCUAUGAUCCAUUUCCGAAAAGAAAAAAAGAAACACUACAUGAGAUCAUAAUCUUUAAAUAUGAAGGAUGACAAUUAGAAAAAUAACCGACACAAGCUUGAAUUGUAGUAGUGGAAAGAAGAUUAAUCAGAGUAUUGAAGCAUUGAUAGAAAAGAGGGAAAAUACUUAUUGUAUUCUAAUUAAAAGCACAACGUUCAAAACACUAACUGAGACGGUAGUUUUAACCAUUAGUACUGCAAAUUAAAUUCAGGAAGAAAAAUACAAAAACAUGGAAGCAUUAAAAUAGAAUACAGGAGCUCAACAUUGUAAUGUUAAUCCUAGGAGAAAAACGACAUCAAAUAAUUAUGUUGUGCAAAAUUAAUUUCAAAUUCAAACAUCAGCUCUUAAGUUCCUAUUUAGAUAGCAAGUUGCAAAAAUGUUAGCUGAAUAUAAUAUUUUAUGAGUGUUACAACAAAAAUGGGUUGUAAUGCUUCUUUGACUGCAAUAUAUACAAUGUUCUAAUUCUUGAUGGAUGUAGGUUUUGAUAAUUAAGCAACCUUUUAUUUUGAAAGAAUAAUGCUAUUGGCAGUGAAAACUAUCAGCAAUCGUCCUAUGUAGCGUAUACUUAGCAAUUUUUUAUUUGAUGUAUAAUUCAAAAAAUAACUACCAUAUAUAUAUAUAUAUAUCAAAUACCAAAUUGUGAAGUGUAUGCCACAUAGAGCGACUAUUAACAGUCUUCACUACGAAUAGCAUUACUCUUAAAAAAUAUAUAUCUAUAUAUACAUUUCUAAAUAUUGAUUUGACAUCAUUUCAAUCACAAAUUUUUCAAUAAAAUAAUAUUACACAUAAAUUCAAAAAAUUUUCUCAUUUUUUAACCACACAUUCUCUACUAAUCUACUAUUUUAGAAUAUAUUCUUUCAAAAUAAUGUGGCACAAACACUUGAAAUUUACUAAAAAUCUGAUUUUGAUUCCUACCAAACAAGUAUUAAAUAAAUGUAAACAAUGCGUAAUUAGAACGGUUUUGAAGUAAGAAGGGUUCACCAACCUCGCAUAUGAUAUAUCGGGACUAAGCAAGCCCAUUAAUGACCUACAAAGAUCACUGAGGAGGAUCAACAUCGGACUAUUACAAAUGACGAGCUAAUUAUUGUGUCAAGAAGCCCUUGCAUCAUCAUUGCUAUCAAGGAUCAAUCACAAUUUUUGACAAGACAAGACAAAUUACGAUCAACUCGAUCAUGGACAAUUAUAGUCUUCUAAUGCUUUUCUCCACCAAUCAAAAGGUAUCUCGCCAUAUUAUUGACACAACUCCUGAUGCAAAUAUUGUAGCUAGGGUAUUUCAAAUAGCCUAUAAAAGGGAAGGAAGAGAGAAAUAUAUAGAUAAAGAGAGAGAAGAAGAAAUAGAAAGAGAUAUGUUGGAGGCCCAUAUUGGCAACCACAAAAAGGUUAGGUAAGGUGACAAACGGGCUGCGCAUUUCACGAAUUCAACACUUCAUGGCUUGGUUCAUGAACCGUUCGAGUUCGUAUUGAAAAAAGUCAUGAAUCAACACAAGCUCAAUUUUUUGAAUUCAUGGAUCAGCUCAUUUUUUGACUGACUUUAUUUAUUUCUUAAAAAUGCUCUACCUCAUGGGAACCAGCCCAAAAAACGGUGAUGUUGAUGUUUAGCUUGGAUGUGAUCUUAGCCAAAAGCCCCAAAAAAAAAAAAUAAUAAUAAUAAUAAUGUCGCAGAGAAUGUUGAGUGCGUGAAAGAAGUCGCAAUUUAAAAAAAUGAAAAUGACAAAUACAGAGACGAGGAGAGAUAAAUAAAAAGUAAAAAGGAAAAAAGGUAGAAAGAAAAGAAGAAUAUAGGUUAAGACUCAGGGAGAUGGAUGUGUGGCCUAAAAGGUAAAAGCCGACAGAGGUAACGCCAGAGAGAGCAGCUGCGACUGCUGUGCUGGUGAAUGAUUUGCGAUCAAGGUUGCUGAGCCAGGAUGAGUAAUUUUCCUCUUAAGUUGCGAUAUGAUACCAUGUUAAGAUUUACAUUUGCUAUAUGUAUUGACAAUAUUAAUAAUGUUACAUAAAUAGUCAUAAUACAGUUCAAAUCCAAAACAAGAACAAUUAUGCUACAUUAAUCUUCGUGUAAAAUAUACAGAGACUGUGACAAAGAGUCGCCUUAGCUGUCUAAAACUUUAUCACCAACAGGAAGCCACCGAUAUAAUUUCAUGUUUGUAUAAACUCGAAGAACCUGUCAGUGUUAAUUUUUCAUGCUUCUACUUAAUUUAGUACCAUUAGGCAUGUACCUACAAGCUACAUGGCAUCUCCAGUCUGACAGAAUGGUAAUACAUCUAGAAAACAAUUUGAUUAUCAAGACAAUCAUAGCAUUUUAUUAAAGAGCCCAAAAAAAAGAGGUUCAAUUAUUCAAUAGCCAUGCGAUUUAUUACUUGCCAUCUGCAUGCACACAAAGUAGUGGAAGUUGGAUAACCAUAAAGGGAAUUAAAAGUAAGCAGAUGAAACUGCAUCAAAUAUCGACAAGACUUAAAAACUAGUUUUUUCAACAUAACACGCUGAUAAUUUUCCAUUUUGCUGGUUCAUUUUGGGAGUGGAGUCUUCACAAAUUCCCACGUGGUCUUAUGAAAAGCCUCAUUAGAACUUCUCGACCCCGCUACUUCAUUGAUGGGAACCGCAUCGGUAAUUUCUUUCAAAUCAUCUUUCGUAAGCUUCAAUUUAAGAGAAUCAAUAUUGGAGUGAAGAUUCUUAAUUUUAGUCGUACCUACAA